This 404-nucleotide long non-coding RNA is filed under the name Monodelphis domestica (gray short-tailed opossum). Its description in RNAcentral is "lncRNA (ENSMODG00000033530.2)". Lineage: Eukaryota; Metazoa; Chordata; Mammalia; Didelphimorphia; Didelphidae. The record is from RNAcentral.
GGCACCAGGAGGUGCCGCCUUCCUCAUUCUUAACAGAAGUCUUAGUGAGCCCUGGAGUCUUGGAUGAAGAAACUGAGGUGGAGAGAGGUGGAAGGCCCGCCUGAGGUCCUGCACAAAGAUUUGUCAUUGCUGCUGCUGUUACUGCAGUUGCUGUUGCCAGGACCAAACACCUCUGGCACAGCCUCAUUAGUCACUACCUAAGCUGCCCUGACAAGUGGAUAAAAGGAAAGAAGACCUCUUUUAGGCAUGGAGGGAAAGUGAGACUUUGGAGCUUUUGCCUAUUCCAGAGAAAAUCAAUAGCUAUCGCGGGGAUGUUGAAGCCACAGAGGGUUCCUUCCGUUUCCAUCGCAGCUAAUUACGAAAGUGACAGGGCUUGUCAGGACCUGUUCAGAGAUCAGAAUUAA